CACGGAGCUUCAGAAAUACAGA
RNAcentral lists this microRNA (22 nucleotides) under Macaca fascicularis (crab-eating macaque). RNAcentral describes it as "novel_miR66-5p". Lineage: Eukaryota; Metazoa; Chordata; Mammalia; Primates; Cercopithecidae. The record is from RNAcentral.